AAUUUGAAUACUGUAUUAAUGAAGGAUGUUCUUGUAAUCACAUACUUGCGUUGCUCAGGUUUCAUUACUGUAUGAUAAGGUGUUUUUCUCUAACUUAACUAUUACUGACUUCCUGUUUCUUUUAUUGGUUAAGCAGUCUAAAACUUGGAACAUUUUUUUAGCAGAGUCAACAGUGAAGACUACCAGAUGAUUUUGUAUUGAAGAGAAAAGUAAUGUCUAAAUUGUGAAUUUCAAUGCAUUAUAAGGUGCCUUCGGAGUCAGCUUUUGCAUUAUAGGGGCUUGUUACAGUCCAGCUAAGAUGACCACUUACAGUUUAUACAGAAUUCAUAUGUAUAAAUCAACAUUCUUGGGAUAUUACUAUAUAUCCUUUGAAUACACCCCUGUGAAGUACUUCCUCCCCCCCCAAAAUGGUGCAUAACAUAAACAUGAAAUGUGUAGUAUACAGAUACCGUUUAUUAUUAAAUAGUUUAUAGUGUAUAAAUUUAGAACAUUUCUUUUUGACAAGAGGUGAACUGAUGGCUAAUUUACCAUUUAAUUCUGUCAGAAACAGGCAAAGCAGUUUCU
Molecule: long non-coding RNA, 564 nt
Filed under: Bos taurus (domestic cattle)
Lineage: Eukaryota; Metazoa; Chordata; Mammalia; Artiodactyla; Bovidae
Description: long non-coding RNA NONBTAT019599
Source: RNAcentral